RNAcentral lists this long non-coding RNA (1107 nucleotides) under Homo sapiens (human). RNAcentral describes it as "HSALNT0316796". The record is from RNAcentral. Lineage: Eukaryota; Metazoa; Chordata; Mammalia; Primates; Hominidae.
AGUGAUCCUCCUGCCUCAGCCUCCCAAAGUGCUGGGAUUGCAGGGUACCUAUGAUGGCGGGCCUGCAUGAGAUGCUGGAAGACGUGUAGAACUGAGUGAAAUUUUCUUUGUCCUCAGAGAGGUGAUGGCUCUAUUAAAGUGUCCAGAGAGAACUCAUCUCACACCAAGGGCAUAGGAGCAGCCACACUUAAGAUCAACUGUCCUUAACCACAGCAUCAUGAUACGCUGGAUUACCCAAUCGCUUGUAAGGAAAGACAGAGAUGAAGUUAUCCUGACUGCUGAGAUGAGCAGUUUACCCUAGGAGGACCUGUGGGACUAUGUUUUGGUAAAGAAAAGUUGAGCUGCUCUGUGGGAGUGAGGUUCCAAUGAAGCCAAAUGUACAAGAGUACUGAGUAUCUCUACAGUCAUCUGAUGAGCUAAAGAAGAGGCCACAUCCGCCAUCAUAGGAAAUAAAUCUCCUGACAUCUAGCUUAUAAUUACGGGAAACUCAAGGAGAACUUUCUGAAGAUUGAAAUCUGUAAGAAAGUAGAUUUCCAGAAAAGAAGUUCCCUCCUGUGAACAGAAAAAAGGACGUAUGGGAAAACACCAGGCUACAUCUUUAUACAUGUGCUGUUGACGAAAAACAAAUGCCGCGUUUUCUCAGGAAGGAGUCAGCUGGACUCUUGGCAGCACCUCUUGACCGAAGUUUUGGUGGAAAGUGGAGACCAGGUGCUAACAACUAUUGAUUGAUAACUGACGUUGAGAGGAUCUUAGCAGGCAGGAGGAGGCAAGGCCUCAGGUACAAGAGGACUAUAGAAAGAGAAUGUGCCUGCCAAAAAGCCAGGUCUUCCCUACUGGGGCAGGAUAAAGUCAAACACAAUAGGAGUUCCCUGGCUGCCAUCUUAUUCAUCUCAGGAGUUCAUCAGAAAAAGAAUCCAGAAUCUAACAACCCAAAGGAGGCUUAAUUUUUGUACUUAGUACAAAGCUACAAAAAUUAAGGUGAAUAAUGGCACCUUUGUUUUUGUUUUAUGCUAUCGUACGCAACUCAAGAAUAAUGACAUAAUGACAUCUUUUUUUUUUUUUUUUUUGAGAUGGGGUCUCGCUCUAUUGCCCAGGCUGGAGUGCAGU